This 975-nucleotide ribosomal RNA is filed under the name uncultured Carpediemonas. Its description in RNAcentral is "bacterial SSU rRNA". It matches the Rfam family "Eukaryotic small subunit ribosomal RNA", at positions 564 to 1532 of the family's 1831-position model. Lineage: Eukaryota; Fornicata. The record is from RNAcentral.
GUGCCAAGCAGCCGCGGUAAUUCCAGCUCUAGAAGCGUAUACAAAAGUUGCUGCAGUUAAAAAGCUCGUAGCCGGAGUUCGGCGUUGUUUCAGGUCUCUCCAGAGUUUCUGGAGUGGGCCUUAGGGCAGCGCUUAUGUACGCGGAACCACGGGACCAUUCACUUGGCCUCGCGGGAAAACGUGCCGUUUACCAUGAGUAAAUGGGAGUGUUUAAAGCAGGCGUUCGCCUGAACUUUUCAGCAUGGGAUAAUAGAAUAAGACUGCGUCUUAUUUCGUUGGUUUGCAAGAUAGCAGUGAUGAUUAAUAGGGGCGUUCGGGGGCAUCGGUAUUACCUGGGAAGCGGUGAAAUGCGUAGAUCCAGGUAGGACCACCGGAAGCGAAAGCGUUUGUCAAGGGCGUUCCCAUUGGUCAAGAACGAAAGCUGGAGGAUGGAAGAAGAUUAGACACCUUUGUACUUCCAGCUGUAAACUAUUCGGACUCGGGAUCGGUGAGCGAGUUCUUUUCCCCAUCGGUAUCGUAAGAGAAAUCAAAGUCUUUGCGUUCUGGGGGGAGUAUGGUCGCAAGGCUGAAACUUAAAGGAAUUGACGGAAGAACACACAAGAAGUGGAUACUGCGGUUCAAUUUGACUCAACACGGGGAAACUCACGCGUCCAAGACACAGGUAGGAUUGACAGAUUGAAAGCUCUUUCUUGAUUCUGUGGGCGAGUGGUGCAUGGGCCGUUCUUAGUUCGUGGAGUGAUUUGUCUGCUUUUAUUGCGAUAACGAACCGAGACCUCCGCCUGCUAAAUAGUGCAGUGAAAUCUUUGUAUUCAUUGACGCCUUCCUUAGAGGGACCAACCCACCCGCCAAGGGUGGGGGAGAUGGGAGGCCAAUAACCAGGGUCUGUGAUGCCCAACGGCCGAAUCCCAGCACACCUGGGCGGGCCCGAUACUAGUUGCAUCCGAGCCUCCGUACCGAGCCUUGGCCGUAUCAUGU